This 2511-nucleotide ribosomal RNA is filed under the name human gut metagenome. RNAcentral's name for it is "bacterial LSU rRNA". It matches the Rfam family "Bacterial large subunit ribosomal RNA", at positions 511 to 2925 of the family's 2925-position model. The record is from RNAcentral.
GAUCUGAAAAGUACCCCGGGAGGGGAGUGAAAUAGUCUCUGAAACCGUGCGCCUACAAACCGUCGGAGCCCUGAGGGGUGACGGCGUGCCUAUCGAAAAAUGAGUCUGCGAGUCAGUGGCACGUGGCGAGCGUAACCCGUGUGGGGUACGCGUAGCGAAGGCGAGUCUCAAAAGGCGUUUGAGUCGCGUGUCCUGGACCCGAAGCGGGAUGAUCUAGCCCUGAGCAGGUUGAAGCGCGGGUAAGACCGCGUGGAGGACCGAACCCACCUGGGUUGAAAACCGGGGGGAUGACUUGGGGCUAGGGGUGAAAGGCCAAUCAAAUUCCGUGAUAGCUGGUUCUCUCCGAAAUGCAUUUAGGUGCAGCGUCGGUUGAUUGCAUCGCGGGGGUAGAGCUACUGGAUGCUUGCGGGCCCGUAUCGGGUACCAACAGCAACCAAACUCCGAAUACCGGUGACGCGUAUCCCGGCAGUGAGUCGGCGGGGGAUAAGCUCCGUCGUCGAAAGGGAAACAGCCCAGAUCGUCGUCUAAGGUCCCCAAGCGUGUGCUAAGUGGGAAAGGAUGUGGAGUCGCAUAGACAGCCAGGAGGUUGGCUCAGAAGCAGCCACCCUUGAAAGAGUGCGUAACAGCUCACUGGUCUAGUGGUUCCGCGCCGACAAUGUAGCGGGGCUCAAGCACACCACCGAAGACGCGGCAGUAUUUUGUACUGGGUAGGAGAGCGUCCCAUGAGGGGCGAAGCGGCCGUGUGAACGCGCCGUGGACUUCAUGGGAGUGAGAAUGCAGACAUGAGUAGCGAGAGACGGGUGAAGAUCCCGUCCGCUGGACGACCAAGGGUUCCAGGGCCACGUUCAUCGUCCCUGGGUGAGUCGGGUCCUAAGGCGAGGCCGACAGGCGUAGUCGAAUGGAUGAACGGGCUGAUAUUCCCGUACCGGCAGCGAACCGAAACAACCGAGGCCUGGGGCGCUAACCUCCGGGUCCGUGCCGUCUCCCCUUUCGGGGGGUCGCGGCGCGGGCGCGUUGGGAUCCCCCCUCGUAGUAGGUCAGCGCAGGAGUGACGCAUCAGGGCAGCCGGCCGCGGAGGUGGUUUUCCGUGGUCAAGCGUUCGAGCCCGUCCCGCAGGCAAAUCCGCGGGGCGUCGGGGCGAGGCGUGAUGAUGGGGGCCUUACGGCCCGAAUCCGGUGAUCCGUGGUGCCGAGAAAAGCUUCGGCGUCAGGCGCGUUGCCGCCCGUACCCCAAACCGACACUGGUGGUCAGGUAGAGAAUACCAAAGCGAUCGAGCGAAUCCUGGUCAAGGAACUCGGCAAAUUGCUCCCGUGCCUUCGGCAUAAGGGAGACCCCCUGCGGUGAUGAGCGGCGGGGGGUGGCACAGGCCAGGGGGUAGCGACUGUUUACCAAAAACACAGGUGCAUGCGAAGGCGCAAGCCGCUGUAUAUGCACUGACGCCUGCCCGGUGCCGGAAGGUUAAGAGGAUCCGUCAGCUUUCUGCGAAGCGGUGAAUUCAAGCCCCGGUAAACGGCGGUGGUAACUAUAACCAUCCUAAGGUAGCGAAAUUCCUUGUCGGGUAAGUUCCGACCUGCACGAAUGGCGUAACGACUUCCCCACUGUCUCGACCAGGAGCUCGGCGAAAUUGCAGUACGAGUAAAGAUGCUCGUUAAGCGCAGAAGGACGAAAAGACCCCGGGACCUUUACUAUACCUUGGUAUUGGCGUUAGGCGCGGAUUGUGUAGCAUAGGCGGGAGGCUUCGAAGCAUGGGCGCCAGCCCGUGUGGAGCCGCAAGGUGAAAUACCGCUCUGUUCUCGUUUGAUGUCUAACCUCGAACAGUCAUCCUGUUCAGGGACAGUGCCUGGCGGGUAGUUCAACUGGGGCGGUUGCCUCCCAAAGAGUAACGGAGGCGCUCAAAGGUCCGCUCGGCCCGGUUGGCAAUCGGGUGUCGAGUGUAAUCGCACAAGCGGGCUUGACUGCGAGAUCGACGGAUCGAGCAGGGACGAAAGUCGGAGAUAGUGAUCCGGUGCCGGCGCACGGGCGCGGCAUCGCUCAACGGAUAAAAGGUACCCCGGGGAUAACAGGCUGAUCAUUCCCAAGAGUCCAUAUCGACGGGAUGGUUUGGCACCUCGAUGUCGGCUCGUCGCAUCCUGGGGCUGGAGCAGGUCCCAAGGGUUCGGCUGUUCGCCGAUUAAAGCGGCACGCGAGCUGGGUUCAGAACGUCGUGAGACAGUUUGGUCUCUAUCCUCUGCGCUCGUUGGAAUCCUGAGGAGGCCUGCCCAUAGUACGAGAGGACCUGGGUGGACGAACCUCUGGUAUGCCGGUUGUCACGCCAGUGGCACGGCCGGUUGGCUACGUUCGGAAGGGAUAACCGCUGAAAGCAUCUAAGCGGGAAGCCUUCUCCAAGAUAAGGAUUCCAUGCGGCCCCGAGCCGCUGAAGACCCCAUGCAGAACACGUGGUCGAUAGGCCGGACGUGGAAGCCCCGCGAGGGGUGGAGCCGACCGGUACUAAUGGUCGAGAGGCAACCCACA